GCGUAAUUGUUAUGUAGGAUCCCGUUUUCCUCUAUGGCUUUAUUCACAAAAGCAUUUACAGUUUCUAUAUUUAGUCAAUUCAAGUAUUUCAGAUAUUUUUCCAAUUAGAUUUUUGAAAUCUGCUUCCCAAUUAAAGUUUUUAGAUCUCGGCCAAAACCAAAUUCAUGGGCCAAUACCAAAUCUAACCGAGUUUACUGGACUGUUGAUUCUUUCCGUGUAUUCGAAUAAUAUGUCGGGUCCAUUACCCCUCAUAUCAUCCAAUCUAGUUUUCCUAGAUCUUUCUAAUAACUUAUUCUCUGGAUCAAUUUCUCCUUUCUUGUGUUAUAGAAUCAAUGAGACGAAGAGCUUAAAUGCUCUUCAGCUAAAUGAUAAUUAUUUAAAUGGAGAAUUACCUGAUUGUUGGAUGAGUUAUCAAAAUUUGAAGACACUCAAACUAAGCAACAACAAAUUUACUGGUAAUCUUCCAUACUCAAUGGGUAGUCUAACUUCUCUUGUUUGGUUGCAUCUUGGCGAAAACAGACUGUCUGGGGAUAUACUUGUUUCUCUUAAAAAUUGUACAGCAUUAGAGUCACUUGAUGUUGGUGAAAAUGAGUUUGUGGGCAAUAUUCCGACAUGGAUUGGAGAAAGAUUUUCAAGAAUGGUUGUACUCAUCCUUCGUUCCAAUAAGUUUCAUGGCCCUUUACCCACAGGAUUAUGUGAUCUAGCUUUUCUUCAAAUAUUAGACAUUGUGGACAACAAUCUCUCUGGAGCUAUACCAAAUUGCAUUAAUAAUCUCACAGGCAUGGUCACAGCAUGCUCUUUUACACGCAGUGUUCAGCAAUAUCUACCACUUCCUAUAGACGUGGGUGUGAUUCUUGUAGAGAAGGCUUCAGUUGUGAGCAAAGGGGAAAUGGUUGACUAUGAAGAUAUUCUUAAUUUGGUAAGGAUGAUAGAUUUUUCCAGGAAUAAUUUCUCAGGAAAGAUUCCUUUGGAAGUGUCAAAUCUUAAAGCACUACAGUCAUUGAAUUUUUCGUACAACUCUUUCACCGGAAGAAUUCCUGAAAGUAUUGGUGUCAUGAGAUCAUUGGAAUCCAUUGAUUUUUCUGCAAACCAACUUUCGGGUGAAAUUCCAGAGAGCUGUCAAGUUUGACGUUUUUGAAUCAUUUGAAUUUGUCCAACAACAACUUGACUGGGAAAAUUCCUUCAAGCACUCAACUGCAGAGCUUUGAUGUAUCUAGUUUCGCUGGCAAUGAUCUCUGUGGAGCUCCUCUUCCUAAGAAUUGUACUGAGAAUGUUUCAAUUUCUGAAGAUGAGAAUGGAGAUGAAGAUGAAGACGAAGUGGACCACUGGUUGUAUGUAAGCGCGGCACUUGGAUUUGUGGUGGGAUUUUGGUGUUUUAUGGGCCCUUUGCUUGUCAGAAGAAGAUGGAGGUACAAGUAUUAUCAUUCCCUGAAUCGUCUUGGGGACAGAUUUGUUGGUGCCAUAAGAAAAUGUUGCUAGGUUUUCUCUGUUUCUUAUAGUUGUUCUGCUUCCAAGUAUUAUUUGAAAUAAACGAGUGGCCUUUUAUUUGUUUUGUGCCUGAAAGUGAACACUCGUGUGAAAUAAUUUUAAACAAACAGGACGAUAUUACAAAUCCUAGGAGAUCAUUCCUACUCAAAAAAAUUAAUCCUGAUAAAUCAAAAGUGAAAAGAUUUUAUUGUAUGGACAGUUCACCACGUAUAAGCUCAUUGAUUUCUAGAUUAAAAAAGAUCAUAAAUCACAACAUUGGUAUCAAAAUGUUGAUUCGUAAUACGAUAUUUAAAACAAAAAUGGAAAGAGAAAAAGAUAUUCGUAAUAAAUCACAACAGUUUUUUUUUUCCCAGGUGCAUCUGCUUGUUGGAAUAAUCAUUCCAUUCUGCAGUCUCAGAUCCAAAAUUUACUCAAGGGGGGAUAUUAUAUUCUCGUAACAAACAAAGUCACAUUAACAAGCAACAUGAAACUUUGAUAGAGAAUUAGAAAAGUUUCUCACAUUAACAACCAACAGGAGGGUUCCCUACAAAUUUCAUUUUAUGGAAUAUUUUCAAUGCAACACUGAGAUUCACAACUAUUCGAGUAAACAACUGUUUGGAAUACUUCCCUCCAAAUUUCAUUUGAAUAUGACAAAAAUGGCAUGUGGGCACCACCCUUCUAGAAGGUGGGCCCGCCCAUUUUGAAGAUGAAAGCAUUACUUCCGUCUUUGAUUGGAAGAAAAGAAAAAAAUAGAGAAAGAACGAAAAAUGGGUGUCGGGCCGAAAAGGGCAAAGAAAAAAAUUAAUAAAAUAAUAAAAAUAAUAUAUAAUUGAUGAAUAGUACCAAAACUUUCUCUAUAAAUAAAAACGAAGAGAAUGAGCAAAUGCAUUCCAUCGAGAGAAAAACAUUUCCUUCCUUUAGAAAGUUGUGAGUAUUAAGAGUUUAAUAAACUCUUGAGUGAUUAGUGUUUUGAGAGUUUGGGUGUAUUGGGAUUUUGAGUAGUGAGCUAAAAUACCACAAUAUUUGUAACUCUUUUUGACUAGUAAAAUAUUUUCCUUCUAUCUUCGCCAAUGGACGUAGGCUAAAAACCAAACCACAUAAUUUCCUGGUAUCCUCUUUGUGCUUAUUCUUUAUUUUUUUUCAAUUUUAUUUUAGCUGCGUGUCUGCUUCAACCAUCAAUUUCCUAACAGAAUAUACAUUUUUUUUUUGGAAAUAUUUCUUGCGAAGUCUCAUAGCUCCAGUACUGCAAGCUUCUUUGGCAUCCAAAUUUCUAGUCAUGUCAUUCAAUAUCUGAAAAAGGUACAAAAGAAACAAAAGGAAAGAGAAGAGAGAAUUAAUUAAUUGCGGGAAAAGAAAUUCCUAGAAAUCAAUUUAAAAAUAUGCUAGGGUUACGGGAUCCACUCUCAGUAUUCAAACUAUAGUUUUAAUACUCUUUUUUUAAUAUAUUUUUCCUUACUUUUACUGGUUAAUUAUUAUGUCAUUUAAUUCUUAACUAACUAUAUCUAUGGAUAAAUAUGGAAUCAAAAACCUAAUGUGCCACAACUAUAUUAAUGUGUCGACUUAAAUACUAGCUAUGCAACCCAAGAGGGGGUGAAUUGAGUUUAUAAAAAUUAUGUAAUACUUAAACAAAUCUUAAACAAAUUCAAAACAAUAAUAAAUAAAUCAAUCAAAAUGUAAAGAGAUAAGGGAAGUGAGAUUCAAACACAAAAAUUUUUAUAUGGUUCGGCCAACCCUGCCUACGCCCGUGCCUCUAAGUUCACCGGGCUUGAGGAUUCUACUGUCCAAGCCUCCAAGGCUUUAAGAACUUUUAUAAUUGACUUCACAGGUGUCAAUCAACCUUUACAACAAUAGAUUAUCUUAAAUCUCUUAACCCAAGUGUUUUCUACAUUCACAUUUUCUCAAAUACAAGAUUUUUCCCGCACACAAUCGAUGUGUUUACAAAUAUAUGCCCAAGGUGUGAUUUAAAGAAUAAAUGAAUAAAUUAAAGCUCAAGUAAUAUUGUAUUCUCAAUAAUAUGCUCUCUGGUAUUCGUUGGAUUCUCUUUGAUUUGGAUCUAAUGCAACCUUUUUAUAUUUGGAGCUGAAAACUAGUCGUUAUCUACUUUCUGCACAAAGUCGGAUCGCCGUUAAGCAUUAUCGAAUUGCCGUUUUGACUUGAGCGAGUGAUUGUUGUGCCAAAAUUCAAAUUGUCGGAUCAUCAUUUUCUAGAUGUCGAAUCGCUGUUAGUUUCUAGUAACUAAACUUCAAUUUUGUUCAAUGUCAGUUAGUCGUUUCCUCGUAAACGGUUAGCCGUUUGCUACAGUGAUUGCUACAGUGAAACAAUUUACUAAAAUUAUAUUUUUUCCCUAAAACUUUUUAAAUUAUACUAUAGCCCAAAACUUUAUAAAACUUUGCACAAAAGUCCAUUUCUAGAAUUUUAAACAAUAUUUGUUGAUUUCAAACUUUUCAAAACUUUUUUAAUUAGACCAUAAACUUGAAAAAUAACCAAUAUUAUAAAAUUAUUUGUUGGCUCCAUGGGAAAUCUACGGUAUCUCAAUUUUUUUGAAACUCGAAUCUGCGGAAUUAUACCUCAACAACUUGGAAAUCUCUCCAAUCUGCAGUUUCUUGACCUUAGUUCAAAUUAUUUAUUAUACGUUGAUAAUUUUUUGUGGCUCUCUGGUAUUUCUCUCCUGGAACACCUCGAUUUGCGUUAUGUGAAUCUUAGCAAAGCCUUUGAUUGGCUGAUGGUAGAAAACAAACUCCUUUCUUUGGUAGAAUUAAGAUUGUCAAAUUGCCAACUCCAACACUUCUCUCCAUUAGCUACCGCAAAUUUUUCGUUGCUCACAGUGUUUGACCUUUCCCACAACCAAUUUGAUAACUCGUUCAUUCCUAGUUGGGUUUUUGCUUUAAGUCAUUUGCCCUUUCUUGACCUAGGUUUUAAUAAUUUUCAAGGUCCAAUUCCUGGGGGACUUCAAAACCUGACUUCCCCUAAACAUUUGGGUUUAGAUUCCAACCACUUCAACUCUUCAAUUCCCAACUAGUUGUAUAAAUUCAUCCAUCUUGAGUACCUUAGUCUUCGCAACAAUAAAUUGCAAGGUACAAUUGACUUAGAGGCUCUUGGAAACUUGACUUCCAUCAAUCAGCUCGAUCUCUCAUUAAAUACUGGUCUUGCAGGGAGAAUUCCAAGAUCCAUGGCAAGUCUUUGUAAUUUAAAGUCAAUCAAUCUUCAGGGUGUCAAUUGUGAGCCAAUAAAUUUUUGAGAUUUUAGAUAUUUUCUCGGGAUGUGUUUCUAAUGGACUAGAGAGUUUAGAUAUGCAGAGUAGUUCAAUAUAUGGUCAUUUGACUGAUUAGCUUGGCCAAUUUAGAAAUCUCGUCACUCUUAAUCUUGUUAAUAAUUCAAUUGUUGGUUCUAUUCCAUGGUCAUUUGGUUAACUCUCAACCUUGAGAGAACUACAUAUAUAUGAUAAUAAGUUAAACGGAACACUUUUUGAACUUCACUUUGCCAAUCUGAUAGAAAUGUCAUGGUUUAGAGUAGGUGGAAACCAAUUGACGUGGGAAGUGAAGCAUGAUUGGAUUCUUCAUUUCCAACUUGUUGCAUUAGGAUUGCAUAGUUGUUAUAUAGGGUCUCGAUUUCCUCUAUGGCUUAAUUCACAAAAGCAUUUACAGUUUCUAGAUUUAGUCAACUCAAGAAUUUCAUAUAUUUUUCCCAUUAGAUUUUUGAAAUCCGCUUCCCAAUUAAAGAUUUUAGAUCUCGAAAAAAAGCAAAUUCACGGGGAGAUGCCAAAUCUAACCGAGUUUACUCAACUUUUGUUUCGUUCCCUGGAUUCGAAUAAUAUGUCGGGUCCUUUACCCCUCAUAUCAUCCAAUCUCGUUUACCUUGGCCUUUCAGAUAACUCAUUCCCCGGAACAAUUUCUCAUUUCUUAUGUAACAAAAUCAACGAGACAAAGAGAUUAGAAGCUCUUAAGCUAAAUGAUAAUUAUUUACAAGGAGAGUUACCUGAUUGUUGGAUGAGUUAUCAAAAUUUGAAGAUACUUAAACUAAGUAACAACAAAUUCACUGGUAAUCUUCCAAACUCAUUUGGUAGUUUAGCUUCUCUUGCUUGGUUGGAGCUUGGUAAAAACAGACUAUUUGGGACAAUACCUGCUUCUCUUAAAAAUUGUACAGCAUUAAAGUCACUUGAUGUUGGUGAAAACGGGUUUGUUGGCAGUACUCCAGCAUGGUUUAGAGAAAGAUUUUCAAGAAUGGUUGUUCUCAACCUUCGUUCCAAUAAGUUUCAUGGCCCUUUACCCA
This 5736-nucleotide long non-coding RNA is filed under the name Citrus maxima (pomelo). Its description in RNAcentral is "long non-coding RNA (CMAX_LNC000844)". Lineage: Eukaryota; Viridiplantae; Streptophyta; Magnoliopsida; Sapindales; Rutaceae. The record is from RNAcentral.